Molecule: ribosomal RNA, 485 nt
Filed under: uncultured Bacillota bacterium
Lineage: Bacteria; Bacillati; Bacillota
Description: bacterial SSU rRNA
Rfam family: Bacterial small subunit ribosomal RNA
Source: RNAcentral
AGCUGAUCCAGCAACGCCGCGUGUGUGAGAAGGCCUUCGGGUUGUAAACCCCUUUCAGCCGGGAAGAACGCGUGGGGGUUAUUACCCCUGGCCCUUGACGGUACCGCCCGAGGAAGCCCCGGCUCUCUCCGUGCCAGCAGCCGCGGUUAUACGGAGGGGGCAAGCGUUGUUCGGAAAUACUGGCCGUAGGGGGCUCGUAGGCGGUCGUUCAAGUCGGAGUGUGAAACCCCGGGGCUCACCCGGGGAAUUGCUUUCGAAAUGUGCGGACUUGAGUGCGGGGAGGGGAAAGGGAAUUUCCGGGUGUAGGGGGGAAAUGCGUAAAAUAUCGGAAGGAACACCGGGGGCGAAGGCGGCUUCCUGGACCGGUAUUGACGCUGAGGAGCGAAAGCCGGGGGAGCAAACGGGAUUAAAUACCCCGGUAGUCCUGGCCGUAAACGAUGAACCCUUGGUGUGGGGGGUAUUGAUCCCUGCCGUGCCGAAGCUAA